AAUGCAUAUUGCUAAGAGUUUGGAGUUGAGGCUGCAAGCUGGCCAAUAAACUUGAAAUUGUAGGUAGUGUGCGACAUGAGUGACAAGUUUCCACUAAUGCUCCACUCUGGCCCAGUGAAUGGAGUUUGAUAGUAAGUUGUGCUACAAGG
Molecule: small nucleolar RNA, 149 nt
Organism: Jaculus jaculus (lesser Egyptian jerboa)
Lineage: Eukaryota; Metazoa; Chordata; Mammalia; Rodentia; Dipodidae
Source: Ensembl